This 433-nucleotide ribosomal RNA is filed under the name uncultured bacterium. Its description in RNAcentral is "partial 16S ribosomal RNA". It matches the Rfam family "Bacterial small subunit ribosomal RNA", at positions 29 to 507 of the family's 1533-position model. The record is from RNAcentral.
AACGAACGCUGGCGGCAUGCCUAACACAUGCAAGUCGAACGAGACCUUCGGGUCUAGUGGCGCACGGGUGCGUAACGCGUGGGAACCUGCCCUUAGGUUCGGAAUAACUCCCCGAAAGGGGUGCUAAUACCGGAUAAUGUCUUCGAACCAAAGAUUUAUCGCCUUUGGAUGGGCCCGCGUUGGAUUAGCUAGUUGGUAGGGUAAAAGCCUACCAAGGCGACGAUCCAUAGCUGGUCUGAGAGGAUGAUCAGCCACACUGGGACUGAGACACGGCCCAGACUCCUACGGGAGGCAGCAGUGGGGAAUAUUGGACAAUGGGCGAAAGCCUGAUCCAGCUAUGCCGCGUGAGUGAUGAAGGCCUGAGGGUUGUAAAGCUCUUUUACCCGGGAUGAUAAUGACAGUACCGGGAGAAUAAGCUCCGGCUAACUCCGUG